This 1522-nucleotide ribosomal RNA is filed under the name metagenome. Its description in RNAcentral is "bacterial SSU rRNA". It matches the Rfam family "Bacterial small subunit ribosomal RNA". The record is from RNAcentral.
AGAGUUUGAUCAUGGCUCAGAUUGAACGCUGGCGGCAGGCCUAACACAUGCAAGUCGAACGGUAACAGGAAGCAGCUUGCUGCUUCGCUGACGAGUGGCGGACGGGUGAGUAAUGUCUGGGAAGCUGCCUGAUGGAGGGGGAUAACUACUGGAAACGGUAGCUAAUACCGCAUAAUGUCGCAAGACCAAAGAGGGGGACCUUCGGGCCUCUUGCCAUCGGAUGUGCCCAGAUGGGAUUAGCUUGUUGGUGGGGUAACGGCUCACCAAGGCGACGAUCCCUAGCUGGUCUGAGAGGAUGACCAGCCACACUGGAACUGAGACACGGUUCAGACUCCUACGGGAGGCAGCAGUGGGGAAUAUUGCACAAUGGGCGCAAGCCUGAUGCAGCCAUGCCGCGUGUAUGAAGAAGGCCUUCGGGUUGUAAAGUACUUUCAGCGGGGAGGAAGGGAGUAAAGUUAAUACCUUUGCUCAUUGACGUUACCCGCAGAAGAAGCACCGGCUAACUCCGUGCCAGCAGCCGCGGUAAUACGGAGGGUGCAAGCGUUAAUCGGAAUUACUGGGCGUAAAGCGCACGCAGGCGGUUUGUUAAGUCAGAUGUGAAAUCCCCGGGCUCAACCUGGGAACUGCAUCUGAUACUGGCAAGCUUGAGUCUCGUAGAGGGGGGUAGAAUUCCAGGUGUAGCGGUGAAAUGCGUAGAGAUCUGGAGGGAUACCGGUGGCGAAGGCGGCCCCCUGGACGAAGACUGACGCUCAGGUGCGAAAGCGUGGGGAGCAAACAGGAUUAGAUACCCUGGUAGUCCACGCCGUAAACGAUGUCGACUUGGAGGUUGUGCCCUUGAGGCGUGGCUUCCGGAGCUAACGCGUUAAGUCGACCGCCUGGGGAGUACGGCCGCAAGGUUAAAACUCAAAUGAAUUGACGGGGGCCCGCACAAGCGGUGGAGCAUGUGGUUUAAUUCGAUGCAACGCGAAGAACCUUACCUGGUCUUGACAUCCACGGAAGUUUUCAGAGAUGAGAAUGUGCCUUCGGGAACCGUGAGACAGGUGCUGCAUGGCUGUCGUCAGCUCGUGUUGUGAAAUGUUGGGUUAAGUCCCGCAACGAGCGCAACCCUUAUCCUUUGUUGCCAGCGGUCCGGCCGGGAACUCAAAGGAGACUGCCAGUGAUAAACUGGAGGAAGGUGGGGAUGACGUCAAGUCAUCAUGGCCCUUACGACCAGGGCUACACACGUGCUACAAUGGCGCAUACAAAGAGAAGCGACCUCGCGAGAGCAAGCGGACCUCAUAAAGUGCGUCGUAGUCCGGAUUGGAGUCUGCAACUCGACUCCAUGAAGUCGGAAUCGCUAGUAAUCGUGGAUCAGAAUGCCACGGUGAAUACGUUCCCGGGCCUUGUACACACCGCCCGUCACACCAUGGGAGUGGGUUGCAAAAGAAGUAGGUAGCUUAACCUUCGGGAGGGCGCUUACCACUUUGUGAUUCAUGACUGGGGUGAAGUCGAAACAAGGUAACCGUAGGGGAACCUGCGGUUG